UUAGACAAUUUAGUGUGUGAUAUGAAUGCCUUGAAUGAUAUAAAAAGCAAUAAAUAUGGUCAGUAAUGGAGUAUAAGCCCAAGCCAGCCCAGCAUCAUUGAACAGUUUGUUUACACAGUGGCCCACCAGCUGUCCUUCCGCUGCUCCUUCUCUUCCUCUUAACAGGAUGGCCAUGCUGGAGCCUGUGGAGGUGGUGGCCGGGAGGUUCCGUGGCUGCCUGGUGGGCGCCGUCUUGGGGGACUGUCUUGGGGCACCAUUUGAGAUGCAACACAAACCUUCACCCUCAGUGCUUAAUUCAUACUUUAAGAGGCUCCAUGACCCUAAUCUCGAAGUGCCAUACAAGGAGUACACUGAUGACACUGCCAUGACCAGGUGUGUGGCUCUUUCCCUCAUCGAGAAGAAAGGGUUCGUUGCCAAGGACAUGGCCAAACGGUUUGUUAAAGAGUACUUUGCUGAGCCAAGGCGAAAGUAUGGUGGCACUGUUGUUUUGGUGUUCAAUGGGCUCCGAGCCACCAAGUUCAAGGAUGUGUUUGCCCCGGCAGCAUCGCGGUUUGAUGGUCGGGGCUCCUAUGGGAAUGGAGGUGCCAUGCGAGCUGCUCCAAUUGCUCUUUUCUGCCACAAUUCCUCUGAACAAGAGCUUGUGGACACAGCCAAGAACAUGGCCCUUAUCACACAUGCCAACAAGAUGGGCUACAAUGGAACCAUUCUUCAGUGCCUGGCAGUGCACGAGGCCCUCCAAACAACCACAGAAUUAAAUGGUGUCAAGUUCAUAGAUAAACUUAUAGAAAAAAUGAGAAUAGUGGAACAGCCUGGAGAAGAUGACAUAACAGAUGAGGGAGAUGAGCCAUUUUUGUAUGUCAAGAAGUUGGAGAAAGUGUUGGAGCUGCUGGAACACGGGAACUCUGUUGAGGGAGAGCAGGUGGAGGAAGAGCUGGGUGUGCAGGUUUUGGCCCAUAGAUCUGUGCCAACUGCCAUUUACUCCUUCCUCAGAGCUUUAAAUCCCAUCCCAAGCAUUGAGACUGACAAUGAGUUCCAGAGGACCCUGCAGUAUGCCAUCAGCUUGGGUGGAGACACAGACACCAUAGCAUCCAUGGCAGGAAGCAUUGCAGGGGCUUAUUAUGGAAUAGAGGAAGUUCCCCAAACCCUCCAGAGACACUGUGAAGGUGUGUCGGAUGCCAUACAGCAGGCAGACAAACUCUACCAGCUUGUGAAGUCCAGGACGUCAGCAUCUUGUAAGAGAAUUUUUUUUCCCUCUGGAUCAAACUCCUGUACUUCUCUUUAGUAGCUCAGAUUUGCAUUGCAGUAAAUAUUAUGUAUCUGUUAGGUGCUGUACAUUCAAGCUUGCCAACCUGUCACACUUUGGCCUUACAUUGAUCCCGGUGCAAUGCAUGUCCUCAUCAGAUUCUCAGUGAGGACUAUGAGGGUUUGAUCGUUUACAUGCACUUUUACAGAUUAAUUAAGGUCAAACCCAUUUUGAAGGAUAAGCAUCAUGAUAGUGGUUUGCAUCCUGCAAAGGUUCUGUAUUAUAAUAACCUGAAAUGGGAAACUUUUACUACCUAUAGAAAUGGAAGUAUUUCUUGUGCAAUCACCAGUCAUUGUAAUAAUGCAUCUGACCUUUCGAAUCAUGGUUGACACACAAAAUAGCAAGGUUUUACUGAGGUGGACAAUGAGACAAUGGGACAAUUACUAAAGCACAAACCGUUAAGUGGUUGUCAUACUGGUAGAGGAAAUUAGGUCAGUGUGUAUUGUCCAAAAUACCACCUUACUGUAUCUCCCAUACAAUCACAGCAUGUCAUGAAGCACAUGAGAAAAUAAUAAUUCAGACCAGGAAAGAGUUUUACUGGCGCUGGGGAUUGAACCCGCGACCAGCGAGAUGGGAAAGCCACUCCUUAACCAGUCAGCCAAAGAGGUACCCCACUCACAGAGUGAGUUAUGGGAGGCCCUCCCAUCAGGUAGGACAGGCACUACAAGUGGCAGGAGUGAGUGUAGUAUGUUAUGAAUGAUAUGACCUCAUCCAAAAAGGGGUUACAUAUGGUGCUUGUUUAUGGUCACCUGCUUGAGCACAGGUAGAUUAAACAAACAAUGGAAAGGAAGAUCAAAGCUGGCAAUGUCUCAUCCAUGCUGCUUUUAGAUGCACUGAAAACUCAUUAUCUAUGUUAGCAGCUUGCCUUUGUUAUCACAAAUUGUAGCAGUGACCCCUGUGGCCUCAAUGUAUCACUGUGAUAGUGCUCCAAGAAGCAAUGUGUGUUGUAGUGUGGUGCAGGAAUCGAAGGUACCUCGUCUUAGCAUUAUUGUCAAGGAUUUAAUGAGCUACCAUCAGCUUUAGUGUGACUCAGGGAUCCAAGGUACUUAGGUGUUAUAGUGACAGUGAUCUAAGGCACCUCCAUCUGAGUCAUUAGUAUUACCUGGCCUCCACUGGUCAGUGCUAGGAUAUCAGUUCAAUUAAAUUUAUCAUGGGAUUAAAUAAAAGAUCUUAGGGACCUGAAUUUGUGCUAUUGUAUGACAAGAAUCACUACCCAGCGUAGCAUCCUCUAGUCAGUGAUGGGCACGGUUCCGCUAAUUCGCUAAUUAGUGAAGCUAACUAUUUCGUUAGUUGAUUCAUACAGGUUUGUUCUUGUCUGUUGUGGGCAGACACAGUAUCAGUUGAGCCACUUGGCGCAAUAACUCCAGGGCUUCCACUAUUGGGCAAGUUACGCUUUAAAGUAGGCUAAUUGGACAAUCAUUAGGGGAACUUUUUGGUAUUUUAGGGUAAUGCAUCUUCCAUUUCCAACCCUUUGAACUCGGGAUUUAAUUAUAUGAAUGCGAUAUAUUCCACCUGACAAGAAAUAAACUUAAAAUACUAAUAAAAAUAAAAGUGUCAGUUAUUGAAAAAGUAAAAAAAGUGUAAAUUUGUGGUAAAUCUUGGGUAAAAUAUACAGAUCUAGGAUAAACUGGA
Eriocheir sinensis (Chinese mitten crab) is the source of this 2935-nucleotide RNA transcript. It is a transcript of the gene named ADP-ribosylhydrolase ARH3-like, with no coding region annotated. The transcript is spliced from 10 exons. Lineage: Eukaryota; Metazoa; Arthropoda; Malacostraca; Decapoda; Varunidae. The record is from RefSeq and is a predicted model, not a curated record.